Molecule: ribosomal RNA, 468 nt
Filed under: uncultured bacterium
Lineage: Bacteria
Description: partial 16S ribosomal RNA
Rfam family: Bacterial small subunit ribosomal RNA
Source: RNAcentral
GACGAACGCUGGCGGCGUGCUUAACACAUGCAAGUCGAACGGAAAGGCCCUGCUUUUGUGGGGUGCUCGAGUGGCGAACGGGUGAGUAACACGUGAGUAACCUGCCCUUGACUUUGGGAUAACUUCAGGAAACUGGGGCUAAUACCGGAUAGGAGCUCCUGCUGCAUGGUGGGGGUUGGAAAGUUUCGGCGGUUGGGGAUGGACUCGCAGCUUAUCAGCUUGUUGGUGGGGUAGUGGCUUACCAAGGCUUUGACGGGUAGCCGGCCUGAGAGGGUGACCGGCCACAUUGGGACUGAGAUACGGCCCAGACUCCUACGGGAAGCAGCAGUGGGGAAUAUUGCACAAUGGGCGGAAGCCUGAUGCAGCAACGCCGCGUGCGGGAUGACGGCCUUCGGGUUGUAAACCGCUUUCGCCUGUGACGAAGCGUGAGUGACGGUAAUGGGUAAAGAAGCACCGGCUAACUACGUG